Molecule: ribosomal RNA, 500 nt
Filed under: Herbaspirillum sp.
Lineage: Bacteria; Pseudomonadati; Pseudomonadota; Betaproteobacteria; Burkholderiales; Oxalobacteraceae
Description: bacterial SSU rRNA
Rfam family: Bacterial small subunit ribosomal RNA
Source: RNAcentral
UUGACUUGGUAACGCAGCUAACGCGUGAAGUAGCCGCCUGGGGAGUACGGUCGCAAGAUUAAAACUCAAAGGAAUUGACGGGGACCCGCACAAGCGGUGGAUGAUGUGGAUUAAUUCGAUGCAACGCGAAAAACCUUACCUACCCUUGACAUGGAUGGAAUCCCGAAGAGAUUUGGAGUGCUCGAAAGAGAACCAUCACACAGGUGCUGCAUGGCUGUCGUCAGCUCGUGUCGUGAGAUGUUGGGUUAAGUCCCGCAACGAGCGCAACCCUUGUCAUUAGUUGCUACGAAAGGGCACUCUAAUGAGACUCCGGUGACAACCGGAGGAAGGUGGGGAUGACGUCAAGUCCUCAUGGCCCUUAUGGGUAGGGCUUCACACGUCAUACAAUGGUACAUACAGAGGGCCGCCAACCCGCGAGGGGGAGCUAAUCCCAGAAAGUGUAUCGUAGUCCGGAUUGGAGUCUGCAACUGCUCCAUGAAGUUGGAAUCGCUAAAUGCGAG